Molecule: ribosomal RNA, 492 nt
Filed under: uncultured bacterium
Lineage: Bacteria
Description: partial 16S ribosomal RNA
Rfam family: Bacterial small subunit ribosomal RNA
Source: RNAcentral
AGUGAACGCUGGCGGUAGGCCUAACACAUGCAAGUCGAACGGCAGCACAGUAAGAGCUUGCUCUUACGGGUGGCGAGUGGCGGACGGGUGAGGAAUACAUCGGAAUCUACUUUUUCGUGGGGGAUAACGUAGGGAAACUUACGCUAAUACCGCAUCCGACCUACGGGUGAAAGCAGGGGAUCUUCGGACCUUGCGCGAUUGAAUGAGCCGAUGUCGGAUUAGCUAGUUGGCGGGGUAAAGGCCCACCAAGGCGACGAUCCGUAGCUGGUCUGAGAGGAUGAUCAGCGACACGAGAACUGAGACACGGUCCAGACUCCUACGGGAGGCAGCAGUGGGGAAUAUUGGACAAUGGGCGCAAGCCUGAUCCAGCCAGACCGCGUGGGUGAAGAAGGCCUUCGGGUUGUAAAGCCCUUUUGUUGGGAAAGAAAAGCAGCAGGUUAAUACCCCGCUGUUCUGACGGUACCCAAAGAAUAAGCACCGGCUAACUUCGUG